Molecule: ribosomal RNA, 506 nt
Filed under: uncultured Acidobacteriota bacterium
Lineage: Bacteria; Pseudomonadati; Acidobacteriota
Description: bacterial SSU rRNA
Rfam family: Bacterial small subunit ribosomal RNA
Source: RNAcentral
UGGGGAAUUGUUCACAAUGGGCGCAAGCCUGAUGACGCAACGCCGCGUGGGGGAUGAAGGUCUUCGGAUUGUAAACCCCUGUCGAACGGGACGAAAGACUCGGGAGCUAAUCAUCUCGAGAGUGACGGUACCGUUAAAGGAAGCCACGGCUAACUCUGUGCCAGCAGCCGCGGUAAUACAUAGGUGGCAAGCGUUGUUCGGAAUUACUGGGCGUAAAGGGCGAGUAGGUGGCCAUCUAAGUCAGACGUGAAAUCCCCCGGCUUAACCUGGGAACUGCGUCUGAUACUGGACGGCUUGAGUAUGGGAGAGGGAGGUAGAAUUCCAGGUGUAGCGGUGAAAUGCGUAGAUAUCUGGAGGAAUACCGGUGGCGAAGGCGGCCUCCUGGACCAUUACUGACACUGAUCCGCGAAAGCUAGGGGAGCAAACGGGAUUAGAUACCCCGGUAGUCCUAGCCCUAAACGAUGAAUGCUUGGUGUGGCGGGUAUCGGAUCCCUGCCGUGCCGAAG